Molecule: ribosomal RNA, 301 nt
Filed under: uncultured bacterium
Lineage: Bacteria
Description: partial 16S ribosomal RNA
Rfam family: Bacterial small subunit ribosomal RNA
Source: RNAcentral
CAGUAGCCGCGGUAAUACAGAGGGUGCAAGCGUUAAUCGGAAUUACUGGGCGUAAAGCGCGCGUAGGUGGUUCGCCAAGUUGGAUGUGAAAUCCCCGGGCUCAACCUGGGAACUGCAUCCAAAACUGGCGAGCUAGAGUAUGGUAGAGGGUGGUGGAAUUUCCUGUGUAGCGGUGAAAUGCGUAGAUAUAGGAAGGAACAUCAGUGGCGAAGGCGACCACCUGGACUGAUACUGACACUGAGGUGCGAAAGCGUGGGGAGCAAACAGGAUUAGAGACCCCUGUAGUCCCUGUCUCUUAUAC